RNAcentral lists this transfer-messenger RNA (377 nucleotides) under Candidatus Saccharimonadota bacterium. It matches the Rfam family "transfer-messenger RNA". Rfam says of the family: Bacterial tmRNA, also known as 10Sa RNA or SsrA, is named for its dual tRNA and mRNA-like properties. Its role is to liberate the mRNA from a stalled ribosome. Lineage: Bacteria; Candidatus Saccharimonadota. The record is from RNAcentral.
GGGGCUGAAAUACGCUAUCGACAUGAGGACUUUAACAGGCUAUUACCGCGCAUCGACCUCUGACGUAAUCAGAAUCAAUAGUUGCAAACAAUCGUCUUGCACAGCUUUUUGCUCCAUUGCAAAAAGCGCCAGCUUUCGCUUAAGUUGCGAAGCCGCACUCUGCCAGAUUUCUGCUAUAGCUAGAGUGUGUCAUAUUUAGCAGGAUCGAUAACGAAUGCUGCUGUGUCAUUCGUUAUUUAAAUUUUUCAUAGCUCGCAAGUGUCUGUAUGUUUGUUCUAUUUCGAGCAGGCCUGCGAUAAUUUCAGAAUAGGACUAUGUGCGUAGACGUAUAGCAAGUUACCUUAUGGACCCGGGGGCAGUACCCGGCAGCUCCACCA